CACGUAGUUAGCCGGCGCUCCUUCUGCAGGUACCGUCACUUUCGCUUCUUCCCUGCUGAAAGGGGUUUACAACCCGAAGGCCUUCAUCCCCCACGCGGCGUCGCUGCAUCAGGCUUUCGCCCAUUGUGCAAUAUUCCCCACUGCUGCCUCCCGUAGGAGUCUGGGCCGUGUCUCAGUCCCAGUGUGGCCGGUCGCCCUCUCAGGCCGGCUACCCGUCGUCGCCUUGGUGGGCCAUUACCCCACCAACUAGCUGAUAGGCCGCGAGUCCAUCCCAGACCGAAAUUCUUUCCAGACGCUACAGAUGCCUGUGCGUCUCGUAUCCGGUAUUAGCUCCGAUUUCUCGGGGUUAUCCCAGAGUCUGGGGCAGGUUACUCACGUGUUACUCACCCGUUCGCCACUGAUCACCCGGUGCAAGCACCGAGAUCACCGUUCGACUUGCAUGUGUUAAGCACGCCGCCAGCGUCGUCCUGUAGCCAGGAUCAAACCUACUUA
RNAcentral lists this ribosomal RNA (492 nucleotides) under uncultured Actinomycetales bacterium. Its description in RNAcentral is "partial 16S ribosomal RNA". The record is from RNAcentral. Lineage: Bacteria; Bacillati; Actinomycetota; Actinomycetes; Actinomycetales.